CCGGCGAACGGGUGCGUAACACGUGAGCAAUCUGCCGAUCUCUGGGGGAUAGCCGGCCCAACGGCCGGGUAAUACCGCGUACGAUCACCGAGGGGAGUCCCUUGGUGAUGAAACCUCCGGGGGAGAUCGAGGAGCUCGCGCCCUAUCAGCUAGUUGGUGAGGUAAUGGCUCACCAGGGCUACGACGGGUAGCUGGUCUGAGAGGAUGGCCAGCCACAUUGGGACUGCGACACGGCCCAGACUCCUACGGGAGGCAGCAGUGGGGAAUAUUGCGCAAUGGGCGAAAGUCUGACGCAGCGACGCCGCGUGUGGGAUGAAGCCUUUCGGGGUGUAAACCACUGUUGCCCGGGACGAAACUCCUUUUUCGAGAGGAUUGACGGUACCGGGUGAGGAAGCACCGGCUAACUCUGUGCCAGCAGCCGCGGUAAUACAGAGGGUGCGAGCGUUGUCCGGAAUCACUGGGCGUAAAGGGCGCGUAGGUGGCGGGAUAAGUGUGUGGUGAAAGCUCGGGGCUCAACCCCGAGUCUGCCAUGCAGACUGUCUUGCUCGAGCAUAGUAGAGGCAGGUGGAAUUCCGGGUGUAGUGGUGGAAUGCGUAGAGAUCCGGAAGAACACCGGUGGCGAAGGCGAGUCUCUGGGCCGAUACUGACGCUGAGGAGCGAAAGC
Molecule: ribosomal RNA, 664 nt
Filed under: uncultured Gemmatimonas sp.
Lineage: Bacteria; Pseudomonadati; Gemmatimonadota; Gemmatimonadia; Gemmatimonadales; Gemmatimonadaceae
Description: bacterial SSU rRNA
Rfam family: Bacterial small subunit ribosomal RNA
Source: RNAcentral